Molecule: ribosomal RNA, 774 nt
Filed under: uncultured Neocallimastigales
Lineage: Eukaryota; Fungi; Neocallimastigomycota; Neocallimastigomycetes; Neocallimastigales
Description: partial large subunit ribosomal RNA
Rfam family: Eukaryotic large subunit ribosomal RNA
Source: RNAcentral
UAUGUGAUCGUCUCUCGCAUAUCAAUAAGCGGAGGAAAAGAAACUAACAAGGAUUCCCCUAGUAACGGCGAGUGAAGCGGGAAGAGCUCAAAUUUGAAAUCUUAAAGGGUUUCCCUUUACGAAUUGUAGUUUAAAGAAGUGUUUUCUGUUGAGGUUUUGGUAAAAGUUCUUUGGAAUAGGACAUCAUAGAGGGUGAGAAUCCCGUAUUUGACCUUUACUUUCAACUUUGUGAUACACUUUCAAAGAGUCGGAUUGUUUGGGAAUGCAGUCCAAAAUGGGUGGUAAAUUUCAUCUAAAGCUAAAUAUUGGCGAGAGACCGAUAGCGAACAAGUACCGUGAGGGAAAGAUGAAAGGAACUUUGAAAAGAGAGUUAAACAGUACGUGAAAUUGUCAAAAGGGAAGCGUUUGACACCAGUGUUGUUUUUCUGAAAAUCAAUUAAAGAACUGUUUAUGCUAAGCUGUUUAGACUUUAUCAGCUAUCUGUUUAGUUUUGAGCUUUUCUUUAAUGCACUUUUCAGUUAACAAGUCAACAUCAAUUUCUUUUGCUGUAAAAAAGCUUGAGGAAGGUGGCUUGAGAUUCGUCUUAAGUGUUUAUAGCCUCUUGCCUAUGCAGUCGGAGAGAUUGAGGUCUGCAGCGUAGAUCCUUCGGGGCUAAAUGCAUUUGUGCUAAGUUAUAGCAUUUUAUAGACAACUUGUUGACUAUGAUUUGUCUUGUAGCUUACUCGCUUAUGUUAUUUUACCUACGCUUAGGAUGUUGAGUAGCGACAUACGCAC